This 66-nucleotide transfer RNA is filed under the name Gyrodactylus brachymystacis. RNAcentral's name for it is "tRNA-Leu". The record is from RNAcentral. Lineage: Eukaryota; Metazoa; Platyhelminthes; Monogenea; Gyrodactylidea; Gyrodactylidae.
UUAGAGAUGUUAGAAGUUAAAUAAGUUUGUUUUAGGUACAAAAAAUGGGGGUGUCCCCUCUUUAAA